UGGUCAAGUUAUUAAGGGUGCAGGGCGGAUGCCUUGGCACUAGGAGCCGAUGAAGGACGUGAUAAGCUGCGAUAAGCUUCGGGGAGUUGCACGUAAACUUUGAUCCGAAGAUUUCCGAAUGAGGAAACUCACUUAGAGUAAUGUCUAAGUAUCAUUAAGUGAAUACAUAGCUUAAUGAGGGGAACUCAGGGAACUGAAACAUCUAAGUACCUGAAGGAAGAGAAAGAAAUUCGAUUCCGUAAGUAGCGGCGAGCGAACGCGGAUUA
This 266-nucleotide ribosomal RNA is filed under the name Clostridioides difficile. RNAcentral's name for it is "partial 23S ribosomal RNA". It matches the Rfam family "Bacterial large subunit ribosomal RNA", at positions 1 to 266 of the family's 2925-position model. The record is from RNAcentral. Lineage: Bacteria; Bacillati; Bacillota; Clostridia; Peptostreptococcales; Peptostreptococcaceae.